Molecule: long non-coding RNA, 364 nt
Organism: Patella vulgata (common limpet)
Lineage: Eukaryota; Metazoa; Mollusca; Gastropoda; Patellidae
Exons: 3
Source: RefSeq, a predicted model, not a curated record
UUUCAGCGCGUCAUCCUAUAACAACCAAUUUAGUCUGGUCAUUGGUUUAAUUUUAGAUUCCGAACUGCAGAAGUAUAUGUGUAUAGCAGCUAGAAGUUAGUACUAACAAGAAACAGACCAAAGUGGUACACAUCUCUGCAAUCAGUUCACAAAAUUUAAUCAAAGAUAUUUUGAAAAUAUUGGCAAAUUCUGAAACAAGAAAGAUGUCAUUUCAAGAAAGAUAAACCGACUUGGACGAUUAGGUGGCAGAGAUGUCCUGUUCAUCGUUAACAACAUCAUGAAGAAUCUCAGUGUCACUUAUGUACAACGCCGUUACAAUUGGACAGGAUAAAAUGGCAAGCGUGAAUUAGGGGCACAUGCUACA